UCGGCCUGCCAGAAAUUUCACCGCUCGAAACACCGAGAACCGACGAAAACAUACCAGACGCCAGAAAGCUCUCGUGCCAUAGCACUCGCGUCCCACAAGGGGGCGCAGAAGAUGAACGCGGCGCGCGUUCCGAAUCCUGGUCACGCGGAGCCAUUUUCCUCGUGGAGACCUACGUGCCAGAACUUGAGGAGCUCGCGCCACUUCGGGUCUCGUCGCGCUGAACUUGGUCCCCCGGCAAGCUAACCGAAAGAAACCGCCACGGUGACAGUCCUCGGCGAAGCCCGAUCUAUGCGUUGGAGGCGAGAACCACGACGUGCGUCAGUUUCGCAGCCGAGGACCCACAAGAGCGCGCAUGUGCGCAUGGCGACUGCGGAUCGACCGUGGAUUUCAGAGGGCAACGACUGCAACGAGGGCUUGGUGUGUACCCUUGGGAUGACAGCAACCGCUAGACUGGCGGCGAACGGUGCCGUAGUGGUGACCCAUGGAUUUUCCGCUAGCCUUCGACAGGUUGCUUCCUCGGGUUGGGCUGUGGCUCAGGGACUGGCUUAGUCACCGGAACAGGCUCUCUUCACGUGACUGGCAGCAACUCCUGGACCUAAACUGAGUGUGCCCUCUGGUCGGUGAGGGGGCCAGGCAACUACCCUGAACGAUGAAGUGUGUACGCGUACCAGUUGCACUGAGAACACUGAAGAAGGCAUUGGCGUGCUGAUGUGCAUGCACCCCACCGGCUGACGUCCCACAUAACGGUUUCCCGGAGGACUUGAGUCAACGAAAGGAUAGACUGAUGGUUCUCAAGGCUGCUGGUGUUGGCAUGGUCGAAGAGUGCGUACAUCUUUUCGGAACACUGCUAGCAAGAACUUUUUAGGUAUACCUGCCCACAGGCAUAGUUUCACUACUCCCUAUGCCUUUGUUGUGUGUUUCUACCCAACCAGUCGGCGCCUCUACCCAGUCUUUGAAGUCCAUGUCGUGAAGGGCUGGUAGUAACUCCUUGACUCGUUGUGACCCGUGGGCUAUCUACAACCACGAGACGAGGUUCCCGACUCUGGAAACAACCGCUGUACUGGUCGUGGACUGUGGGCUGGCUGCAGCUCCGGUAUGGACUUCAAGCCUAUGAGUGGGACCAUGACCUGGUGUGGUUGCGGCCGCAAGACUAGGUAUUAUCUGGAGACUGGAAAGCGCCUCUAUACUUGCUACGGCCCUGGGAUUGUGUGUGUUGCUGAGACAAGCAGCGCCUCUUGGCUGGAAAUGACGCCUGGACUAUCUGCGACCCCAUGACGUCAUGAUAACGAUACUGGCAGGGCCCAUGGACGAAUAGCGGCCCUGAACUGACAGCGUACCCUGGACUGUCUGCAGCCCCUGAACUGGCUGAAGACCUAGCACUCUUUUGUAAUCCAAAGGCUGGCAACUACGCCCGGACUGGUGGUAGCGGCCACUGGACUGGAUCCAGGCCCGGGACUGGGUGUGGUAUCGAGACCGAUGUGAUCUGAAACCUAGCUGUGCUUCAUGACUUUCAACGACAGUGUCGCACGGUUUCACUCUGAUCCGUAGACUGACUGCGGCUCCAGAUUUCCCGUGGGCCAUAAUCUGGAUGGGAGCUCGGGACUGUCUGCGAUUCUGCCAAUGACAUUGAUUCCGGAGCUUCCGGUAAUCUCGAGAGUGGCAGAAAUUCUGGGACCGGCAGCAAUCCUUGGGUUUGCGGGGCCUCGGCACGUGCUACCGUCCUCGGAAUGACUGCAGGCUCUCGUCUGACUGCAGUUUGCGGACUCUUGGCGACCAUCGAAUGUUUGACGGGGGCUGCUGAAGCAGCCGCCGUCAAAGCCGCCGUGUUUUUCGUCAGAAUGGCGUUUUUUAUUUGGUAACUAUAGUAACUGUGCUCUUACUCACUAGGGUUUUGGAUUGGUUUUUAUUAUAGUGUUCGCAAUGCAGCAUAUACUGCCUAUCAGACUUUACUAAGGCGAUAAACUGUCUUGUGCACGUUGCCACAAUUGCAAGGAUUGUACGUAGUCACGAGGAUAUGUGGUGGGUACCUGCUGUUUUUCCCUAGCCUAAAUGUUUGCCAUCCACAUUCGAAGUGGUUCUCAUAUGACGACUGCAGCAAGUCUCAGGCUUAGUCACGCUUAGGUCACAAAGGAGCACCGUUAUAUAUCUGCACCAAACAUUAUCUUACAGGAAGCUGCCAUGUUAUGAAACUUACCGAUAUUGCCAGCAAUACUGCUACAGCUUAGGGCUUGAAGACCUUUCUUUAGUUGUUUGGUAGAUGUAUCCAACUGCAGGUCGUGAGUCGGACAUAAUAAUUUUAUAUCAAUGCAAUAGAGACUGAAUUAUCGCUUCAUGCCUUUGAGGGCAAUAUGUUGUAAGGGUACGUAUACGUCCAUUGAGGAGCUACAAGCCUUUGUCGUAGAGAAAGUGUUUGUGAAGCACUCUUUUCCUUCUCUUUCUUGCAUUGCCUUUAACGGCGGCUGGUGUCUGGGCAGGUAUACGUAAAAUUCAGUGACUGGGUGUUGCUGGCCACGUGUCUCUGAGUAUGGGCGCGCUCAUUGUGACUACAAUAUUAUGCCUACACGUCACAGAUCAUGUGAACGAAGAAAAGGCAAGAAGUGAAGUUGGUAAAAUAAAAUCGAAGUCCACUACAAUGAAGCUUUUCGCAAAGGAAAAAAACUGAGCUCAGUGCAUGUGUGAAAGAGGCCAUAGACCCAAAGAAGCGUUGAGUGGAGAAUUAAGUUAUAUAUCUAGUCUUAACACUAAUAGUGCCCUGUAUUUGUUCAAAUUACUUUGCUCUAAAUGUACCGCACCCUUGGCCAAUCCUUCAUUGUUUCUAUGUGCAAUAUUACAUAAAUAAUAAUCAUCAUCAUCGCCAUCAUCAUAAUCAUCAUCAUUACCAUCGACAAGUUUUCGUUACGUGGUGUCAGAGAGAAAUUUUAUUGUCAGGAAAGACAGAGAGGGUAACCGGAGCUGGUGCACUCUGGUCUGAUUCUCUGCAAUGGGAAAGAGGGAAGGGAAGUGCAAAGUGUCUGGAGGCAUGAUGAUGCGAAGAUAAGCUGUGAGGGCUGACGCAUAUUAGAUAGUCGGUCUACUACAGCUGCUCGUAUAGUUUCCUGCCAUGUAGGAACUUCGACAGAGUUUUAACUGUCGGCAUUUAAAUUGCAGUGUUUGAACAUGAGCCAAGAAUAACAUCCUACGCUGUGCACAAAGUAACAGGAUAGGAUUGGAAUAAACUUUAUUUGUCCAACGGUUACCA
This is an RNA transcript of Dermacentor andersoni, 3238 nucleotides long. RefSeq lists it as uncharacterized. The record is from RefSeq and is a predicted model, not a curated record. NCBI's taxonomy places the organism in Eukaryota, Metazoa, Arthropoda, Arachnida, Ixodida, Ixodidae.